This 252-nucleotide ribosomal RNA is filed under the name uncultured bacterium. RNAcentral's name for it is "partial 16S ribosomal RNA". It matches the Rfam family "Bacterial small subunit ribosomal RNA", at positions 524 to 776 of the family's 1533-position model. The record is from RNAcentral.
UACGGAGGAUGCGAGCGUUAUCCGGAUUUAUUGGGUUUAAAGGGUGCGCAGGCGGCACGGCAAGCCGGCGGUCAAAUCGCGGGGCUCAACCCCGCCCAGCCGUCGGAACUGCCGGGCUAGAGUGGGCGAGAAGUAUGCGGAAUGCGUGGUGUAGCGGUGAAAUGCAUAGAUAUCACGCAGAACUCCGAUUGCGAAGGCAGCAUACCGGCGCCCUACUGACGCUGAGGCACGAAAGCGUGGGUAUCGAACAGG